GGAUGGCUCCAGCUCCACCCACCCCACGUCCAACCCUGCUCCUCAAACCCCCUGAGAUGCCUCCAAACCCCAUCCCAGAGUUCUUCAGAGCUGUUUUUCCACCAUAAUCCCAGGUUUUUUUCCUGGAUCAACACUCGACAUCCACCAGGAGCCUCCCAAUCCAUGAAAAUCCAGGAUGGCUCCAUCUCCACCCCUGUUCCUCAAAGCCCUUGAGAUGCCUCCAAACCCAAAUCCAAACUUCAUUUGGAGCCGUUUUUCCACCGUAAUCCCAGUUUUUUUUCCUGGAUCAGCAUCUGGCAUCCACCAGGAGCCUUCCAACCUACAAGAGGCUCCACCUCCACCCUCCCCACGUCCAUCCCUGCUCCUCAAAGCCCUUGAGAUGCCUCCAAACCCCAUCCCAGCUCCGUCGGGAGCCGUUUUUCCACCAUAUUCCCAGGUUUUUUUCCUGGAUCAGUGCCCAGCACCCACCAGGAGCCUCCCAAUCCAUGAAAAUCCAGGACGGCUCCAUCUCCACCCACCCCACGUCCAUCCCUGCUCCUCAAACCCCUUGAGAUGCCUCCAAACCCAUCCCAGCUCCGUUGGGAGCCGUUUUUCCACCAUAAUCCCAAUUUUUUUUCCUGGAUCAACAUCCGGCAUCCACCAGGAGCCUCCUAAACCAUGAACAUCCGGGAUGGCUCCAGCUCCACCCACCCCACGUCCAACCUGUUCCUCAAACCCCUUGAGAUGUCUCCAAACCCAAUCCCAGCUCCAUUCUGGAGAUGUUUUUCUGCUGUAAUCCCAAUUUUUUUCCUGGAUCAUCCACCAGGAGCCUCCCAAUCCAUGAAAAUCCAGGACGGCUCCAUCUCCACCCACCCCACGUCCAUCCCUGUUCCCCAAACCCCUUGAGAUGCCUCCAAACCCAAAUCCAAACUCCAUCCAGAGCCGUUUUUCCACCAUAAUCC
This 941-nucleotide long non-coding RNA is filed under the name Parus major (Great Tit). RNAcentral's name for it is "lncRNA (ENSPMJG00000001867.1)". The record is from RNAcentral. Lineage: Eukaryota; Metazoa; Chordata; Aves; Passeriformes; Paridae.